CCUUCUGGGCUUCAGAGUCCUCAUCUGUACAAUCGGGAAAGCAGCAGAGCCCAUCUCAUAUCACACGGCUGUGAGGAUUAAGUGUUCAUUCCGGAGAACACCUGGCACACACAGAUGGAAAAACUGAGAAUCAGAGAGGGCUAGUGAUCUCUCGGACACUUGGUCAGUAGAAAGGAUCCCGUCUCAUCCUCCAGGAUCCGAUGGCCCUGGAGAGAGGGCUGCAGGGCCCACGGACACUGCUGACUCUUCAGAACGUGCUGACAUGGAGCCAGGUAGACUGAAAUUACCACGUGUCCAAAUUAAAACUGCAUACUUCAAGGAUUAUUUGAAGGAUUAUUCUUAGACCCUUUUAAGAAGAU
Molecule: long non-coding RNA, 359 nt
Organism: Eubalaena glacialis (North Atlantic right whale)
Lineage: Eukaryota; Metazoa; Chordata; Mammalia; Artiodactyla; Balaenidae
Exons: 4
Source: RefSeq, a predicted model, not a curated record